Long non-coding RNA from Oreochromis aureus, 1263 nucleotides. NCBI's taxonomy places the organism in Eukaryota, Metazoa, Chordata, Actinopteri, Cichliformes, Cichlidae. The record is from Ensembl.
GUUUCUCCUUCGUGUGCCUUCUGAGGCUUUCCUCUGUGACUGAGGAGCUCUGUGGUUACGUAUGUAAUACCUCCACUGGGGGGCGCUCCAGCUUAUUCGGUUUUCUGCUGUUCAGCAGAGAAAGUUUUCCUCUGACAACUGAUGAGUCAUCAGCAGCUGGUUUUCUGAUUGGCUGCUGGAGGAUUUUUACUUUCUGUUUCUAUUCAUAGAAGAAGUGACAGCAUGUGGUCAACCAACACACACACACCCAUCCUUGUCUUUGUGAUGUUGUAAGGACACAUGACCAGAGAAUGCGUGGUGGGGACCGCCCUUUUUUGGUUAUGAACACUGCUGUGACGUUUGUGUCUUACAAAAACAGUGACAGAGAUAAUCUGUGAUAUCGUCCAUCAUCCUCUCUUGGUGGCGCUGUCACUUGGUGUUCGCUCGCUUUGUGCAUGUCUUUAUCCUGUUUUCCUUCUUCACCCCAACCAAUCACAGCAGAUGGCCCCGCCCCUCCCUGAGCCUGGUUCUGCCGGAGGUUUCUUCCUGUUAAAAGGGAGUUUUUCCUUCCCACUGUCGCCAAAGUGCUUGCUCAUAGGGGGUCAUAUGAUUGUUGGGUUUUUCUCUGUAUCUAUGAAGCGCCUUGAGGCGACUUUUGUUGUGAUUUGGCGCUAUAUAAAUAAAAUUGAAUUGAAUGAUAAUGAGAGACUGUAAUGGUCCAGAAGCACACAUAAACUCACCAACACACACACACACACGCACAGAGGAAUAUGUUCAUUAGCAAACAUGUUAUAAACAUGUGUUGUAUUUAAAUCCGUGAGGUGGAAGAUUCAGACUCUCUGUGUGUGAUCUGAUUUUAGAUGAUUUCAGCUGCUCCAGUCAGAAAUAGGACUGUGGCACUUAUACUGCAGUAAAGGAUCAGAGUACCUCACCCUCUGCUGCUGUCCAGCUUUAUCUACUAACUGCUGACUGACUGAUCAGCUGUUACAGUGUGGAUCCAGCAGGGGGCGUCUGACUCUGUGUGUCUCUGCUGCUGUUCAUGUAAAAACUUCUGCCUGUAGUAACAGCUGACACAGCAGCAGCUGCUUUUCUGAUUGGCUGUUUGAGGUUUCUACUUUCUACUUUCUGUUUUUGUCCCAACAAAGUGACAGCAUGUGUCAGCACGCACGCACACACACACAGAGAGAAACACAGAAACAAACACUCACAUGCUCUGAUUCAGGUGUCGCUUUUGUUGAUACUGAUUUUGUUUUAUUUUCUUAACUGAAGGCCGAUAAAAUCAAC